Molecule: ribosomal RNA, 496 nt
Filed under: uncultured bacterium
Lineage: Bacteria
Description: partial 16S ribosomal RNA
Rfam family: Bacterial small subunit ribosomal RNA
Source: RNAcentral
AUGAACGCUGGCGGCGUGCCUAAUACAUGCCGGUCGAGCGAACAGACGAGGAGCUUGCUCCUCUGACGUUAGCGGCGGACGGGUGAGUAACACGUGGAUAACCUACCUAUAAGACUGGGAUAACUUCGGGAAACCGGAGCUAAUACCGGAUAAUAUAUUGAACCGCAUGGUUCAAUAGUGAAAGACGGUUUUGCUGUCACUUAUAGAUGGAUCCGCGCCGCAUUAGCUAGUUGGUAAGGUAACGGCUUACCAAGGCAACGAUGCGUAGCCGACCUGAGAGGGUGAUCGGCCACACUGGAACUGAGACACGGUCCAGACUCCUACGGGAGGCAGCAGUAGGGAAUCUUCCGCAAUGGGCGAAAGCUUGACGGAGCAACGCCGCGUGAGUGAUGAAGGUCUUCGGAUCGUAAAACUCUGUUAUUAGGGAAGAACAAAUAUGUAAGUAACUAUGCACGUCUUGACGGUACCUAAUCAGAAAGCCACGGCUAACUACGUG